RNAcentral lists this ribosomal RNA (484 nucleotides) under uncultured bacterium. RNAcentral describes it as "partial 16S ribosomal RNA". It matches the Rfam family "Bacterial small subunit ribosomal RNA", at positions 30 to 507 of the family's 1533-position model. The record is from RNAcentral.
AUUGAAGGCUGGCGGCGGGCCUAACACAUGCAAGUCGAGCGGAUGAGGGGAGCUUGCUCCUGGAUUCAGCGGCGGACGGGUGAGUAAUGCCUAGGAAUCUGCCUGGUAGUGGGGGAUAACGUCCGGAAACGGGCGCUAAUACCGCAUACGUCGUGUGCGAGAAAGUGGGGGAUCUUCGGACCUCACGCUAUCAGAUGAGCCAAGGUCGGAUUAGCUAGUUGGUGGGGUAAAGGCCUACCAAGGCGACGAUCCGUAACUGGUCUGAGAGGAUGAUCAGUCACACUGGAACUGAGACACGGUCCAGACUCCUACGGGAGGCAGCAGUGGGGAAUAUUGGACAAUGGGCGAAAGCCUGAUCCAGCCAUGCCGCGUGUGUGAAGAAGGUCUUCGGAUUGUAAAGCACUUUAAGUUGGGAGGAAGGGCAGUAAGUUAAUACCUUGCUGUUUUGACGUUACCAACAGAAUAAGCACCGGCUAACUUCGUG